Molecule: ribosomal RNA, 1059 nt
Filed under: uncultured eukaryote
Lineage: Eukaryota
Description: bacterial SSU rRNA
Rfam family: Eukaryotic small subunit ribosomal RNA
Source: RNAcentral
UCCAGCACCAAUAGCGUAUAUUAAUGCUGCUGCUGUUAAAAAGCUCGUAGUUGGAUCAAGAGUACAACAGUGCAAGGUGGCCUCAUUGCGUCAGUGGCUCCGGUCGCUGGCGCGGUGGCGGAUCUAACCCCUUGCAUUAAACUGUUGUCUCUAACAGGCCGAAGCGGUUCCCUGUGAGUAGGCCACUUCAUUGGGGCUGAAAGCGAUUACGCAUUUACCACAUGCAUACGGGACGUCGGCCAAAGUUACUGUGAACAAACCAGCGUGUCCAAAACAGGCUUUCGCCUGAAUGUUCGAGCAUGGAAUAACAAAGGAUCGAUUCUCUCGGUUCUUUUUGUUGGUUUUUAACCCGAGAAGGAGUAAUUCAGGCCACGGUGUCUGGGCUGGGUUCCCCUAGGCUUCGUGCUUAGGCCCCAGUUAGGCCGUGUUCUUACGGGAUAAAUAGGGACUGACGGGGUCGUACGUACUUCCACGUCAGAGGUGAAAUUCUUAGAUCGUGGGAAGACGAACUUCUGCGAAAGCAUUCGACAAGAAUGUCUUCAUUAAUCAAGAACGAGAGUGUGGGGAUCGAAGAUGAUCAGAUACCGUCGUAGUCCACUACUGUAAACAAUGCCGUCUCAGGAUUGAGAAGUGAACCUAAUGACUUUCACAGCACUAACCCCUGAAACGAGAAAUCAAAGAUUAUGGGUUCAGGGGGGAGUACAUUCGCAAGGCUGAAACUUAAAGGAAUUGACGGAAUGACACCACAAGGCGUGGAGUAUGCGGCUUAAUUUGACUCAACACGGGGAAUUUUACUAGGUCAGGACAAUGUAAGGAUUGACAGAUUGAGAGCUCUUUCUCGAUCCAUUGUGUGGUGGUGCAUGGCCGCUCCUGGUUGGUGGAGUGAUUUGUCUGGUUGAUUCCGUUAACGAACGAGAUCUCGACCCUUAAAUAGGUGCCCGUGUCGAUCGUAGUUUCGCCUCCGCCCGGCUUGCCGAGAUUGGAGCGGGACGAGACUGCGGGAAUACUUCUUAAGGGGACUGUGUGCGUCUCUAGCACGCGGAAGAGCGAGCCAAUAGC